RNAcentral lists this ribosomal RNA (253 nucleotides) under uncultured bacterium. Its description in RNAcentral is "partial 16S ribosomal RNA". It matches the Rfam family "Bacterial small subunit ribosomal RNA", at positions 524 to 776 of the family's 1533-position model. The record is from RNAcentral.
CACGUAGGGUGCAAGCGUUGUCCGGAAUUAUUGGGCGUAAAGAGCUCGUAGGCGGUCUGUCGCGUCUGCUGUGAAAACUCAGGGCUUAACCCUGAGCUUGCAGUGGGUACGGGCAGACUAGAGUGCGGUAGGGGAGACUGGAAUUCCUGGUGUAGCGGUGAAAUGCGUAGAUAUCUGGAGGAACACCGGUGGCGAAGGCGGCAUCCUGGACCGGCAUUGACGCUGAGGCGCGAAAGCCAGGGGAGCAAACGGG